Long non-coding RNA from Amphimedon queenslandica, 434 nucleotides. RefSeq lists it as uncharacterized. The record is from RefSeq and is a predicted model, not a curated record. The transcript is spliced from 3 exons. NCBI's taxonomy places the organism in Eukaryota, Metazoa, Porifera, Demospongiae, Haplosclerida, Niphatidae.
CCUUUGCUACCUGUGGAGCUGAAGGAAGGCUCUGGAGACACUGCCAUCAUCUAAAAUGUGUGCAGAGAAGAACACGUGGUUGGGCUACAUCAUGUAACAGAGGAGACCAGAUCAGUCAAAAUAGCUGAAACAGUUGCUUUGCAGCUAAGAAAAGUUGAGGAUAUAGUCCCUUGAACAUCUCUUGCAGGUCCUUCCUCUGCAGCAGGUAUUGCCACAAAUAAAAUGGUGGCUAUGAAACAGGAACAAGUCAUGAGCUUAUUUCCAGCAAAUGGUCAAUAAAAUUAAGAUUGGGUUCCUUUCCAGCAGUAAAAUAUGGAUACAGCUUAAAGCCUGUGACUGUUUCUACAAUUCCUCCCUCCCCAUCCAUGUGUCUCCCUUUCUCUCUGUCCCUCUCUAUCUCACACUGGAGCUCCAUCAAUAAACCUAGGUAAGUU